RNAcentral lists this unclassified non-coding RNA (353 nucleotides) under soil metagenome. RNAcentral's name for it is "partial contains 5.8S ribosomal RNA, internal transcribed spacer 2, and large subunit ribosomal RNA". The stretch from base 1 to 119 matches the Rfam family "5.8S ribosomal RNA", at positions 35 to 154 of the family's 154-position model. The record is from RNAcentral.
GAUGAAGAACGAGCGAAAUGCGAUAAGUAGUGUGAAUUGCAGAAUUCAGUGAAUCAUCGAAUCUUUGAACGCACAUUGCGCCUCCUGGUAUUCCGGGAGGCAUGCCUGUUCGAGCGUCAUUAAAAUCACUCAAGCUUAGGUUUACCUAUUGCUUGGUCUUGGAGAUGGAAGCCAAUUUAUUGGAAUCCUCUUCGAAAUUCAAUGGCGAAGACCCUUGCUCUCCCAAGUGUAGUAAUAACUUAUGUCACUGAAGGAAGCGAGAAAUCUUCUGCCGUAACCCCCAUAUUUUCUAUGAUUGACCUCGGAUCAGGUAGGGAUACCCGCUGAACUUAAGCAUAUCAAUAAGCGGAGGA